This 254-nucleotide ribosomal RNA is filed under the name uncultured bacterium. RNAcentral's name for it is "partial 16S ribosomal RNA". It matches the Rfam family "Bacterial small subunit ribosomal RNA", at positions 524 to 776 of the family's 1533-position model. The record is from RNAcentral.
UACGUAGGGUGCGAGCGUUAAUCGGAAUUACUGGGCGUAAAGCGUGCGCAGGCGGCGCGUUAAGACAGGUGUGAAAGCCCCCGAGCUUAACUUGGGAAUUGCGCUUGUGACUGGCGGGCUGGAGUGUGGCAGAGGGAGGUGGAAUUCCACGUGUAGCAGUGAAAUGCGUAGAGAUGUGGAGGAACACCGAUGGCGAAGGCAGCCUCCUGGGCCAGCACUGACGCUCAUGCACGAAAGCGUGGGGAGCAAACAGG